This 598-nucleotide ribosomal RNA is filed under the name uncultured fungus. RNAcentral describes it as "eukaryotic LSU rRNA". It matches the Rfam family "Eukaryotic large subunit ribosomal RNA", at positions 1 to 601 of the family's 3401-position model. The record is from RNAcentral. Lineage: Eukaryota; Fungi.
UUGAGCUCAGAUCAGGUAGGACUACCGCCUGAACUUAAGCAUAUCAAUAAGGCGAGGAACAGAAACCAACAGGGAUUCCCCUAGUAGUGGCGAAUGAAGCGGGAAAAGCUCAAGUUUGAAACCUGGCGGGUGACCUCCAGAGUUGUAAGCUGAAGAGGCAUAGACCGACGCGGUCCGGGCUCAAUUUCCUUGGAACAGGAGGUCAUGGAGGGUGAGAACCCCGUCUGUGGCUCGAGUGCCGUCGUCCUUGCGUCUUGCCCUCGUAGAGUCGGGUUGUUUGGGAAUGCAGCUCAAAAUGGGUGGUAAAUUUCAUCUAAAGCUAAAUAUUGGCGAGAGACCGAUAGCAAACAAGUGGAGUGAUCGAAAGAUGAAAAGUACUUUGAAAAGAGAGUGAAACAGUACGUGAAAUUGUUGAAAGGGAAGCGUUUGGCAUCAGCCCAUGGCGCUCGAAGAUCAUCCGGGCUUCUGUCCGGUGCACUUUUCGAGCGUUGGGCCAGCGUCGACUUUGCCUGCUGGAGGAAGGCCUUGGGGAUGUGGCUCCCUUCGGGGAGCGUUAUAACCCUUGGCGUCAUGCAGUGUGGUGGGGUCGAGGUCCACG